RNAcentral lists this ribosomal RNA (253 nucleotides) under uncultured bacterium. Its description in RNAcentral is "partial 16S ribosomal RNA". It matches the Rfam family "Bacterial small subunit ribosomal RNA", at positions 524 to 776 of the family's 1533-position model. The record is from RNAcentral.
CACGUAGGCACCAAGCGUUGUCCGGAAUUAUUGGGCGUAAAGAGCUCGUAGGCGGUUUGUCGCGUCUGCUGUGAAAACUCGGGGCUUAACCCCGGGCCUGCAGUGGGUACGGGCAGACUAGAGUGCGGUAGGGGAGACUGGAAUUCCUGGUGUAGCGGUGAAAUGCGCAGAUAUCAGGAGGAACACCGGUGGCGAAGGCGGGUCUCUGGGCCGUAACUGACGCUGAGGAGCGAAAGCGUGGGGAGCGAACAGG